Long non-coding RNA from Episyrphus balteatus (marmalade hoverfly), 2342 nucleotides. RefSeq lists it as uncharacterized. The transcript is spliced from 4 exons. NCBI's taxonomy places the organism in Eukaryota, Metazoa, Arthropoda, Insecta, Diptera, Syrphidae. The record is from RefSeq and is a predicted model, not a curated record.
GAGGGCGACGUAAUCCACUUCGUUAGUAAAUAGAUAAGAAAGAGGGUCUACGACUACGAUAUGAUAAGUAGACUGGAACCCAGAAUAGAAGGUAUGUAAUGUCUACUAAAUUUUUAUCUAUGGUAAGGGAAGAAAAAGUAAAAUAUAUGUAGGUAGGUUGGUACAUAGCUAGAAGAAAUGCGAGCGUUCUUUGAUUUUCAAAUAAUAUUUUAGGAAGGUACAGAAAAUAUUAUAUAGGAAAAAACAGCCACUAUGGAUGCGAUGUGGCUCCGCAGUCGCUUUACAGGAUUUUGUAUUACAGAAAAUCACCUUAAAAGGACAUUUUGGUAACUAGCGUAUGGUCGUUUGGUCGUCCGUGAACGAUUCUGAAACUGAUCGUUUGGCACUCAAUGGCAGUUCUAAUUCUGAAAAGAAGAGCAAAUCGAUUCCGAAUUUUGAGGCAAAAUCAAAACCAGAAUCACACACACAUGUUCACACUUAAGACGUCAAAUUAAUGAAAUGUUAUUUUUUGUUGUUCAUUUCUAAAUAUUGAGAUUUUUUACUAUGCCAAACUUUAAAUUAUACUAAAAUAAAGUAUAGAAAACAAAAAAAUAGAUAAAUUUUUAUGGAAUAAACACGAAUAAACAAAACAAAACUUUCAUCAGGCGUUCGCAUUAUUUUCCGGUUCACAAAUACAAAGAAACCCAAACUUUAGAAUCAAAAAAAAAAGUAUCCAAGCCUGUUCGUUUGGAAUCAAGGAUCGGACAGUCCUGGACCGUUCUAAGAAUUACCAACCGAGAAAAUUGAAAAAUAGAGAAACUACUUUAUUUUAAGAAGAAAUUUUAUUGCACGUGUUUUAAUGAUGUUAUUGUUAAUGGGGGGCUUAGUUCCUUUUCUGUCGAGGGGACCAGGCAAAAUACUUUUGAUUAAAACGCUGUUGAUAUUGGCGACUGCCUGUCGACUUUACAUGCUCGAAGCGGAACAACGAAGUUGCGUGACCGGGACAGAGGACCCAAAAAGUAAAGUUAAAAUAAGAAAUGCCGCGAACAUUCGGCCACUAUUCGGUAUUCGGCCUAUUUUUCUGUUAUUCGGUAUUCGAAUACCGAAUACCAAAUGGAGAAGAAAAAAGACAUAAAUUAUUAUACCAAAAUGUGUAUUUUAUUAAAAAAUUGUAAUUUUAGUACUUAUAAUCUACUAAAAUGCCUGGCUACACAGUGAUUUUUCAAUCGAUUGAAAAAUCACAUGCGGUGGCUACACACUGUUGUGCCCAAUCACGUUCCACUUUUACAUUUUCUAGGAACAAAUGUCAAAAAAAGGAAAAACUUAGCAAUGGAACUGUACUGCCCUCAGAAAAUUCAGUUUCCUUCAUGAGCAUCUUCCCCCUUCACUCUUCAUCCCUCUUGCUCACAAACUCACUGCUCAGGUGAUUGAAAAAUCACCGUGUAGCCUGGCACAAAGGCAAGUUCUGUUGAAUGAAAACUAUUUGUUCCGCAUUUGUUGGUAGUAAACGAUUACGUUUAUCUUCGUAGACUAUUCCUCCUUCGAAAAAUAGUCUUUCGCUGUAAACACUUGUCCCAGGAGAAGAAAGGUAGGCUUUAGCAAAUGUUGUCAAAAUAUGAAAUUUUGUACCACCACUUGUAUGGGUCCGCCGUUCGAUCUUGGCGAACAGUCCUCAUAUAUAAUUCGAUUUUAGAUGUCUAUCUUUGGUAGUGUGUUCCGACAUUUAUCUUAAAAGUAGUUCACUUAUUCAUGGUUACAAUACGAUGUUGUUGGGAAUAUUUUAAGCCACAUCUAUUCUUGAGACAAAGUAUACAUUUUUUGAAAUUACCAACGUUUUUUUCUGAGUGUCCUUGGCCGAAUAUUCAGUAUUCGGUAUUCGGCCAAAUCAAUGUUCGCGGCAUCUCUAGUUAAAAUCCUGAGAACCCGAGAAGCGGGUAAAAAGCUGUUGACAUUGGCGCCUGCCAGACGACUUUACAAACCCUAAACGGGGCAACGAAGUUGCGUGAGCGGGACAGAGGACCCAAAAAGUAAAGUUAAAAUCCUGAGAACCCCACGAAGCGGACCAGGCAAGGUACUGUUUACUUAAAAAACUGUUGACAUUGGCGCCUGUCAGACGACUUUACAUACCCUAAGCGGAGCAACAAAGUUGCGUGAGUUGGUCAGAGGACCCAAAAAGUAAAGUUAAAAUCUUGAGAACCCGCGAAGCGGGCCAGGUAAGAUAAAAAAUUAAGAAUCUGAAAAAAGUAGUUUCCGUGUUUUUCAAUUUUUUCAAAAACUAUUAGGCAUAGAAACAUAUGAUUUUCAGUGUUUGAUCAAGAAUCAAUUGAGGCAGUUUACUUUAUCAAUCAAUUUUGUAUUGAAAU